AGUCUUAUAGUUUAAUUAAAACAUUAAAUUGCAAAUUUAAAAAUAAAAUUUUUUUAAGGCUU
This 62-nucleotide transfer RNA is filed under the name Sialis jiyuni. Its description in RNAcentral is "tRNA-Cys". It matches the Rfam family "tRNA". Rfam says of the family: Transfer RNA (tRNA) molecules are approximately 80 nucleotides in length. Their secondary structure includes four short double-helical elements and three loops (D, anti-codon, and T loops). Further hydrogen bonds mediate the characteristic L-shaped molecular structure. tRNAs have two regions of fundamental functional importance: the anti-codon, which is responsible for specific mRNA codon recognition, and the 3' end, to which the tRNAs corresponding amino acid is attached (by aminoacyl-tRNA synthetases). tRNAs cope with the degeneracy of the genetic code in two manners: having more than one tRNA (with a specific anti-codon) for a particular amino acid; and 'wobble' base-pairing, i.e. permitting non-standard base-pairing at the 3rd anti-codon position. The record is from RNAcentral. Lineage: Eukaryota; Metazoa; Arthropoda; Insecta; Megaloptera; Sialidae.